RNAcentral lists this transfer RNA (73 nucleotides) under Candidatus Hecatellales archaeon ex4484_218. Its description in RNAcentral is "Candidatus Bathyarchaeota archaeon ex4484_218 tRNA-His". It matches the Rfam family "tRNA". From Rfam's summary of the family: Transfer RNA (tRNA) molecules are approximately 80 nucleotides in length. Their secondary structure includes four short double-helical elements and three loops (D, anti-codon, and T loops). The record is from RNAcentral. RNAcentral also lists the same sequence under 3 other names. Lineage: Archaea; Thermoproteati; Candidatus Bathyarchaeota; Bathyarchaeia (SeqCode); Candidatus Hecatellales.
GCCGCCGUAACGUAGCCUGGAAGCGUACAGGCCUGUGGAGCCUGGAGGCCGGGUUCAAAUCCCGGCGGCGGCC